UUGAGAGGAUGGUUGGCUUUCUCCUCUUAGAUUUUAGAGAGCCGAAGGAAAGCUUUACCUUCAACUUCUGAAGAUGUGUUAAAAGUCACUGACAAGAGUCAAAUUAAUAACAGAAAAGGCAUACAAAUUUAAUUGAUCAUAGUUUUACAUAACACAGGAGCCUUCAGAAUGAAGAUCCAAAGAUACAGAGGAAUUGUACAUUUUAAUGCUUAGGGUCGACAAAAUAUGGACAGCCAUGUACAAAUACGAUUGGGCAAAAAGAGAAUGAUCUACUGCCAAUAGAGUUGGGAAACCCAGCAAGGCCUGUCUGUCUAGACUCCUCUUGGCCUCACUGCGCAGCAUUCGUUCCUCCUUGGUGUGUGGCAGGACCCUCUAUGGAAAGAGGGUGUUAUGACCUACAAUUAAAAAAGGCUUGGAGCUAAAGCAGCUGUCAACCUGGAAGUACCAAUGGACACUGACAAAACAAUAAACAAAUCUCCAACAAAAGCCUGUUCUCUCUAGCCAAAAAUCCAAGACAGUCUUGAGAAGACUAGUAAGACAGAAAACUUUUAGACAAUAACAGCUCUAC
Molecule: long non-coding RNA, 568 nt
Filed under: Homo sapiens (human)
Lineage: Eukaryota; Metazoa; Chordata; Mammalia; Primates; Hominidae
Description: HSALNT0079747
Source: RNAcentral